UAAUUGAAGAGUUUGAUCAUGGCUCAGAUUGAACGCUGGCGGCAGGCCUAACACAUGCAAGUCGAACGGUAGCACAGAGAAGCUUGCUUCUUGGGUGACGAGUGGCGGACGGGUGAGUAAUGUCUGGGAAACUGCCCGAUGGAGGGGGAUAACUACUGGAAACGGUAGCUAAUACCGCAUAACGUCUUCGGACCAAAGUGGGGGACCUUCGGGCCUCACGCCAUCGGAUGUGCCCAGAUGGGAUUAGCUAGUAGGUGGGGUAACGGCUCACCUAGGCGACGAUCCCUAGCUGGUCUGAGAGGAUGACCAGCCACACUGGAACUGAGACACGGUCCAGACUCCUACGGGAGGCAGCAGUGGGGAAUAUUGCACAAUGGGCGCAAGCCUGAUGCAGCCAUGCCGCGUGUAUGAAGAAGGCCUUCGGGUUGUAAAGUACUUUCAGCGGGGAGGAAGGCGAUGCGGUUAAUAACCG
RNAcentral lists this ribosomal RNA (472 nucleotides) under Erwinia wuhanensis. RNAcentral's name for it is "bacterial SSU rRNA". It matches the Rfam family "Bacterial small subunit ribosomal RNA", at positions 1 to 469 of the family's 1533-position model. The record is from RNAcentral. Lineage: Bacteria; Pseudomonadati; Pseudomonadota; Gammaproteobacteria; Enterobacterales; Erwiniaceae.